RNAcentral lists this ribosomal RNA (259 nucleotides) under uncultured bacterium. RNAcentral describes it as "partial 16S ribosomal RNA". It matches the Rfam family "Bacterial small subunit ribosomal RNA", at positions 524 to 778 of the family's 1533-position model. The record is from RNAcentral.
UACGGGGGGAGCAAGCGUUGUUCGGAUUUACUGGGCGUAAAGGGCGCGUAGGCGGUCGUGACAAGUCACUUGUGAAAUCUCCGGGCUUAACUCGGAACGGUCAAGUGAUACUGUCGGACUAGAGUACAGAAGGGGCAACUGGAAUUCUCGGUGUAGCGGUGAAAUGCGUAGAUAUCGAGAGGAACACCUGCGGCGAAGGCGGGUUGCUGGGCUGAAUACUGACGCUGAGGCGCGAAAGCCCAGGGGGAGCGAAACGGGG